AAGGCUAAAUACUCCUGACUGACCGAUAGUGAACCAGUACCGUGAGGGAAAGGCGAAAAGAACCCCGGCGAGGGGAGUGAAAAAGAACCUGAAACCGUGUACGUACAAGCAGUGGGAGCCCCACCACCAAAGCAUUCUCUGGUGUUGAAGGCCCUGCAAAGCAGCAUCGCGGUGGCGGAGCGUCGUUUGCGACGCCCAACACACAAAACAAGCGGUGAGUGCUUUGGGGUGGGGUGACUGCGUACCUUUUGUAUAAUGGGUCAGCGACUUAUAUUCUGUAGCAAGGUUAACCGUAUAGGGGAGCCGUAGGGAAACCGAGUCUUAACCGGGCGUUAAGUUGCAGGGUAUAGACCCGAAACC
This 360-nucleotide ribosomal RNA is filed under the name Salmonella enterica subsp. enterica serovar Anatum. Its description in RNAcentral is "bacterial LSU rRNA". It matches the Rfam family "Bacterial large subunit ribosomal RNA", at positions 462 to 722 of the family's 2925-position model. The record is from RNAcentral. Lineage: Bacteria; Pseudomonadati; Pseudomonadota; Gammaproteobacteria; Enterobacterales; Enterobacteriaceae.